RNAcentral lists this ribosomal RNA (609 nucleotides) under Alternariaster centaureae-diffusae. RNAcentral describes it as "eukaryotic LSU rRNA". It matches the Rfam family "Eukaryotic large subunit ribosomal RNA", at positions 285 to 916 of the family's 3401-position model. The record is from RNAcentral. Lineage: Eukaryota; Fungi; Ascomycota; Dothideomycetes; Pleosporales; Leptosphaeriaceae.
GCUCUAAAUGGGAGGUAAAUUUCUUCUAAAGCUAAAUACUGGCCAGAGACCGAUAGCGCACAAGUAGAGUGAUCGAAAGAUGAAAAGCACUUUGGAAAGAGAGUCAAAUAGCACGUGAAAUUGUUGAAAGGGAAGCGCUUGCAGCCAGACUUGCCUGUAGUUGCUCAUCUAGGCUUUUGCCUAGUGCACUCUUCUAUGGGCAGGCCAGCAUCAGUUUGGGCGGUUGGAUAAAGGUCUCUGUCAUGUACCUCUCUUCGGGGAGGCCUUAUAGGGGAGACGACAUGCAACCAGCCUGGACUGAGGUCCGCGCAUCUGCUAGGAUGCUGGCGUAAUGGCUGUAAGCGGCCCGUCUUGAAACACGGACCAAGGAGUCUAACAUCUAUGCGAGUGUUUGGGUGUCAAGCCCGAACGCGUAAUGAAAGUGAACGGAGGUGGGAACCUUAGGGUGCACCAUCGACCGAUCCUGAUGUCUUCGGAAGGAUUUGAGUAAGAGCAUGGCUGUUGGGACCCGAAAGAUGGUGAACUAUGCUUGAAUAGGGUGAAGCCAGAGGAAACUCUGGUGGAGGCUCGCAGCGGUUCUGACGUGCAAAUCGAUCGUCAAAUUUGGGC